UGGGGAAUUUUGGACAAUGGGCGAAAGCCUGAUCCAGCAAUGCCGCGUGAGUGAAGAAGGCCUUCGGGUUGUAAAUCUCUUUUGUCAGGGAAGAAACGGUGAGGGCUAAUAUCCCUUGCUAAUGACGGUACCUGAAGAAUAAGCACCGGCUAACUACGUGCCAGCAGCCGCGGUAAUACGUAGGGUGCAAGCGUUAAUCGGAAUUACUGGGCGUAAAGCGUGCGCAGGCGGUUUUGUAAGUCUGAUGUGAAAUCCCCGGGCUCAACCUGGGAAUUGCAUUGGAGACUGCAAGGCUAGAAUCUGGCAGAGGGGGGUAGAAUUCCACGUGUAGCAGUGAAAUGCGUAGAUAUGUGGAGGAACACCGAUGGCGAAGGCAGCCCCCUGGGUCAAGAUUGACGCUCAUGCACGAAAGCGUGGGGAGCAAACA
This 427-nucleotide ribosomal RNA is filed under the name uncultured bacterium. Its description in RNAcentral is "partial 16S ribosomal RNA". It matches the Rfam family "Bacterial small subunit ribosomal RNA", at positions 355 to 774 of the family's 1533-position model. The record is from RNAcentral.